UACACACGGAUAACAUACCGAAAGGUAUGCUAAUACGGGAUAAUAUAUUUGAGAGGCAUCUCUUAAAUAUCAAAGGUGAGCCAGUACAGGAUGGACCCGCGUCUGAUUAGCUAGUUGGUAAGGUAACGGCUUACCAAGGCGACGAUCAGUAGCCGACCUGAGAGGGUGAUCGGCCACAUUGGAACUGAGACACGGUCCAAACUCCUACGGGAGGCAGCAGUGGGGAAUAUUGCACAAUGGGCGAAAGCCUGAUGCAGCAACGCCGCGUGAGUGAUGAAGGCCUUCGGGUCGUAAAACUCUGUCCUCAAGGAAGAUAAUGACGGUACUUGAGGAGGAAGCCCCGGCUAACUACGUGCCAGCAGCCGCGGUAAUACGUAGGGGGCUAGCGUUAUCCGGAUUUACUGGGCGUAAAGGGUGCGUAGGCGGUCUUUCAAGUCAGGAGUGAAAGGCUACGGCUCAACCGUAGUAAGCUCUUGAAACUGGGAGACUUGAGUGCAGGAGAGGAGAGUGGAAUUCCUAGUGUAGCGGUGAAAUGCGUAGAUAUUAGGAGGAACACCAGUUGCGAAGGCGGCUCUCUGGACUGUAACUGACGCUGAGGCACGAAAGCGUGGGGAGCAAACAGGAUUAGAUACCCUGGUAGUCCACGCUGUAAACGAUGAAUACUAGGUGUCGGGGGUUACCCCCUUCGGUGCCGCAG
Molecule: ribosomal RNA, 697 nt
Filed under: uncultured bacterium
Lineage: Bacteria
Description: bacterial SSU rRNA
Rfam family: Bacterial small subunit ribosomal RNA
Source: RNAcentral